UACGAAGGGGGCUAGCGUUGCUCGGAAUCACUGGGCGUAAAGGGUGCGUAGGCGGGUCUUUAAGUCAGAGGUGAAAUCCUGGAGCUCAACUCCAGAACUGCCUUUGAUACUGAGGAUCUUGAGUACGGGAGAGGUGAGUGGAACUGCGAGUGUAGAGGUGAAAUUCGUAGAUAUCAGGAGGAACACCGGUGGCGAAGGCGGCUUUCUGGACGACAACUGACGCUGAGACGCGAAAGCGUGGGGAGCAAACAGG
This 253-nucleotide ribosomal RNA is filed under the name uncultured bacterium. Its description in RNAcentral is "partial 16S ribosomal RNA". It matches the Rfam family "Bacterial small subunit ribosomal RNA", at positions 524 to 776 of the family's 1533-position model. The record is from RNAcentral.